RNAcentral lists this long non-coding RNA (749 nucleotides) under Zonotrichia albicollis (white-throated sparrow). RNAcentral's name for it is "lncRNA (ENSZALG00000001942.1)". Lineage: Eukaryota; Metazoa; Chordata; Aves; Passeriformes; Passerellidae. The record is from RNAcentral.
GGGGUCCCACAACCUUCACAGGACGUUGUGAAGGUCAUGGUGGGUCUGGGGUCUCCGGUCCAUGGGGAGAACAUGGUUGGGGUCCCACAUGUUCCAAAGGAGGAGGUUGUGGUGGGGAUGGGGUCUUCAGGCCAUGGGGAGAACCUGGUUGAGAUGGGGAUGGGGGCUUCAAACCAUGGGGAGAACCUGGCUGGGGUCCCACAGGUUCCAAAGGAGGAGGUGGUGGUUGUGGGUCUGGGGUCUUCAGGCCAUGGGGAGAAUGUGGUAGGGGUUGGGUUGGGGUCUUCAAACCAUGGGGAGAAUGUGGUUGGGGUCCCACAUGUUCCAAAGGAGGAGGUUGUGGUUGUGGGUCUGGGGUCUUCAGGCCAUGGGGAGAACCUGGCUGGGGUUGGGUUGGGGGCUUCAGGCCAUGGGGGCAACGUGGUAGGGGUCCCACAGCCUUCACAGGACAUUGUGAAGGUCAUGGUGGGUCUGGGGUCUUCAGGCCAUGGGGAGAACCUGGCUGGGGUCCCACAGGUUCCAAAGGAGGAGGUUGUGGUGGGUCUGGGGUCUCCGGUCCAUGGGGAGAACGUGGUUGGGGUCCCACAGGUCACCAAGGAGAACAUGGUUGUGGGUCUGGGGUCUUCAGGAUGUGGGGAGAACCUGGCUGGGGUCCCACAGCCUUCACAGGACGUUGUGAAGGUCAUGGUGGGGAUGGGGUCUUCAGUCCACGGGGAGAACAUGGCUGGGGUUGGGUUGGGGUCUUCAGG